Long non-coding RNA from Glossina fuscipes, 1003 nucleotides. RefSeq lists it as uncharacterized. Lineage: Eukaryota; Metazoa; Arthropoda; Insecta; Diptera; Glossinidae. The transcript is spliced from 4 exons. The record is from RefSeq and is a predicted model, not a curated record.
AUAGUGAUGGCAGUGACAACGUUGAGGUUUUUAUUUUUAUGUUACACAUUCAUAUUACACUCCUUAUUUUACUUAAAGAACAUAAAGCAAAAGUGGAAAUACCUCUUUUCUGUUUGACACGAGAACGUCGAAAAAAUUAGUUAAUGCACGCACGGCAUGCUCUAUAAAUGCUGAAAUUUUAUGCGAAGUUGAAAUGAAACAAAAAAGUACUGAGCAAAAGAGACAGCAUGGGACAGUUGCCUAAUUUUCGAUAUUUGUUGAUGAAAAUUGGCCAAAUUCCUGAUAUUUUCUGAUGAUAGUGGUCAGCAUGCGCAGGUGUUCAAAUAUACCUCUCCCACAUGCACAUUCGCAUCUGUAAAACAACAAAACUGCUAACGCUUUCACUUUUUAGUUGGUUUGCAUCACGUGUAAAAGCGUUCGGCAUUGUUUGCCGAAUUUCGGUGUUUUUUGAAUAACGGGUGCUCAACAGCUGUUAAAUACACUUCCUCACAUCUGUGACAUUAGAAAAAAGGGUUACUCUCUGUCGGCUUAAAAUUCAAAGUCACAGUUUUAAAUCUGAUCGCAUUUAAACACUCAAGCUGUACAAAUUUUCGUUGAACUGGAUGCAUAAGUUAUAUUCCAUUGGCUAAGCUCAUACCUACUCUGUAUACAAAGAAGAAAAAACUAUAAUUAUUCAACAAAAUCAAAGCAAAACAGAGAACGAUUAGGCAGAAAUGCUUGAAUUUUUAAGAGAUCCGUAGUAUGUUUCGCGACUUUCGCGAAAGAGAACCGUUAUGAAACAGAGAAGAACUCUAUGGGAUGCUUUUACUACCCCUACACUAGCUGAAAAUGUAAAAGUAAAAGAAUGUAUUUGUACAUAUACAUGUUUGCAUAGUUGCAUGUACGUUUCUACUGUAGGAUUAUUGCUUUGAUCUAUUUUAUUUUACUUACUGCUAUUUAAUCUACUUUAUGCAAGCUUUGCAUUUUACAAAACUUUACUCCAAUUAUAAUAACCUAGUUUAGC